This is a long non-coding RNA of Prionailurus viverrinus (fishing cat), 1540 nucleotides long. RefSeq lists it as uncharacterized. Lineage: Eukaryota; Metazoa; Chordata; Mammalia; Carnivora; Felidae. The transcript is spliced from 3 exons. The record is from RefSeq and is a predicted model, not a curated record.
CACGAGGCAGAAACCAAUCACUGCAAGAACCCUUCAAGGAGAGGGCAGUCUGGAUCCUGGGGACCUCCUCCAUUAACUGGACGAUUCUGCAUGCCCUACCCUGGAGACGCCCCGCCCCCAUGGACUAUUAGGCACUUCCACCUCCUGAACCUUAGUGGCCCUGAGGCCACCCGGAACCCCUCCACCUGCAACACUUGGCUAUUUUGUAUGCAAGAGUCCUGGUCCUUUCCCAGGAUUGCCUUGCAGGCUGUGCCCCGCGGACCACCCUUCACCACCAGUCAUGGGCUAUAGGCCACAUCCCCCUCCUCCACCUACUCUAUUUGUUAAGAUGACCUGAACUGGACGAGUGGCUGCUAAAGUAUAUUCAUCUUCUUCAUGAUUGACUUUGUGGCAAUGAUGGAGAGACAGUUGUGAGUCUUGGCAAUCCAACUACAAACUGCCUGAGGACACUGUAGCAUGUCUCAAGUUUCUCAGGACAUACAUACAAUGGACAGUGGCAUGUCCCUGUAAUACAGUGAGCUAUACGUUUCUCUUGUCAAAUGAAAGAGGAUUUUUUACACAAAAGCAGACGUAUCAGCGGUACUGGUGCGUAUGUUGGAGACACAAUAUUUUGGGUUCUGUGAUGAAUGAGGUGCACCCCUAACUUUUAGAUCAUCAGGUGUCCUGUGUGAAAGAGGGACAUUCAUUAAACGAUGCAGACCUUGUGAUCACCAACAUGGAAACACCAGUGAGGAUCCAGGGCAAAACGGGGGGAGCCUUGAAUCAUACAGGAAUAGAAGGGAAGUUGAGCACAGUAAGCAGAGUUUGAGGAGGUGCAGAGGGGAGGGUGUUGGGGUCAGUGUGAUGCAGUUGGAGGUCAUUCUUGGUCACAGCCUGAGCAGGGAGUGUGAGGUCCAUACGGAGCUGCUAUGUGGGAUCGCUCUCAGUGCACAAUGCAGCGUUCAUCUCCAAAAUGUCAGUGUGUUGCCAAAGUGCACGCAGGUAAUCACCUAAAAAGAUUCUUGUCUCCCUGGAUUUUCCUGAAGGUUCUAGAUAUUUGUGGGGGGAAAAGAGCCCUGGAGAUAUGGGACAUUUAACUUGGGCUUAUGAAAAUGCUGUAUGCCCAAGUUCAUAUCCCUCAGUGAGACUAAAAGUGGAGACAGGGUCUAGAUCAGCUAAGUCAUCCUACAAUUCAGGGCUGGCCAGAUGCCACCACUGCUGGACCCCUGUCAUCACCCUGACUACAGCUUUGCAUCUCCUCAAACUUCUCUCACAAUAUUAUGACGCUUUGCCUGUGUUCCUGCUGUCUUAGCCCUAAUACCAGUUCUCAGUGGGACCUACACAGAGCCUCAGCUGUGUUAUCUGGGAAAACAGGGGUAAUAUUUGUUUCUAAGAACAAGAGAAAAAGAAGACAUUCAGUGCAUAAAGCGUCCGCAAAAUCUCUGAGAAGUGUCCCCUCACGCUUCUCACAGUUUCAAUUAAGAUAUCUCCACACAAUGAUCCUCCAAAAAAGAUGGUCACGGGAGUUCAUUAAACUAAGACUGUUAACAACUCAGCCCAG